This 207-nucleotide ribosomal RNA is filed under the name uncultured bacterium. RNAcentral's name for it is "partial 16S ribosomal RNA". It matches the Rfam family "Bacterial small subunit ribosomal RNA", at positions 568 to 774 of the family's 1533-position model. The record is from RNAcentral.
AGCGCAGGCGGGAGAACAAGUUGGAAGUGAAAUCCAUGGGCUCAACCCAUGAACUGCUUUCAAAACUGUUUUUCUUGAGUAGUGCAGAGGUAGGCGGAAUUCCCGGUGUAGCGGUGGAAUGCGUAGAUAUCGGGAGGAACACCAGUGGCGAAGGCGGCCUACUGGGCACUAACUGACGCUGAGGCUCGAAAGUGUGGGUAGCAAACA